This 471-nucleotide ribosomal RNA is filed under the name uncultured bacterium. Its description in RNAcentral is "bacterial SSU rRNA". It matches the Rfam family "Bacterial small subunit ribosomal RNA", at positions 26 to 507 of the family's 1533-position model. The record is from RNAcentral.
CGAAGGACGAACGCUGGCGGCGUGCUUAACACAUGCAAGUCGAACGGUGAACCAGAGCUUGCUCUGGGGAUCAGUGGCGAACGGGUGAGUAACACGUGGGCAACCUGCCCCAGACUCUGGGAUAACUCCGGGAAACCGGAGCUAAUACCGGAUACGACUACUUCGGACAUCCGACGGUAGUGGAAAGUUUUUCGGUCUGGGAUGGGCCCGCGGCCUAUCAGCUAGUUGGUGGGGUAAUGGCCUACCAAGGCGACGACGGGUAGCCGGCCUGAGGGGGCGACCGGCCACACUGGAACUGAGACACGGUCCAGACUCCUACGGGAGGCAGCAGUGGGGAAUAUUGCACAAUGGGCGAAAGCCUGAUGCAGCGACGCCGCGUGAGGGACGACGGCCUUCGGGUUGUAAACCUCUUUCAGCAGGGACGAAGCGAAAGUGACUGUACCUGCAGAAGAAGCACCGGCUAACUACGUG